This 231-nucleotide ribosomal RNA is filed under the name uncultured bacterium. Its description in RNAcentral is "partial 16S ribosomal RNA". It matches the Rfam family "Bacterial small subunit ribosomal RNA", at positions 118 to 347 of the family's 1533-position model. The record is from RNAcentral.
UGGGCAAUCUGCCCUUCUCAUCGGAAUAAGCGUUGGAAACGACGUCUAAUGCCGAAUACGACCUCCUUUCGCAUGAUCGGAGGUGGAAAGCUCCGGCGGAGAAGGAUGAGCUCGCGGCCUAUCAGCUAGUUGGUGAGGUAAUAGCUCACCAAGGCGAUGACGGGUAGCCGGCCUGAGAGGGUGACCGGCCACACUGGGACUGAGACACGGCCCAGACUCCUACGGGAGCAG